This 8031-nucleotide long non-coding RNA is filed under the name Solanum tuberosum (potato). RNAcentral describes it as "long non-coding RNA (STUB_LNC008662)". The record is from RNAcentral. Lineage: Eukaryota; Viridiplantae; Streptophyta; Magnoliopsida; Solanales; Solanaceae.
AAUGAUUUAAAAUCCUUUCAGACAAGAUAGUCAUACAGUUUGACAUGAUCUCCGACCCAUCAACAGAUUAUCUACACAUGUUCGUCCCUAAAACGAACAUGGCCGACAAAUAAAGGGGUGUGUUGUAGAUAUAAAAUAAAUAAUAAAAGUGUCAUUUCCGCUUUUAGAUGAGAGAACCACUUCAAUACUAUGCAAUGUUCAGUAUGAUUAAAGCCAAAUUACCUCCUUCUCAUUUUUAUAAAUUUGAGCACAAUCAAUAUGCCGGUAACCCAUCUGUAGCAAAAAGAAGAGAAUGAUUAGGUUGUGCCAGAAUGCCAAAAUCACUAAGUUGCAAGUGACACUUCAAAGUGGUUGAACUCUUAGAACUACUCCAAAGUUACUUUAGUAGCAUUGUAGUAACAUAACUUCUUAACAUCUAUUUUGGCCAUUACAAGUAAGAACUACGAUACAGAAAAUAAUUCUCAAAGAAGAGCAAUGCACCCACUAAUAUAUACAUUUCCAUAAACUCAAAUAAAAGUUAGACCCAUGCACAAUUUCAUCACUAAGCAUAUGUGGGAAGUGGGAACACAUAUUUCCUUCACUUUUUUCCACAUUUGAACGGGAUACCAGUGUAAUCUUCUACAAAUACUCUAGGAAAGUAUAUAUUAAAGGGAAAAAGCAUUCAGAAUAUGUAUCUCUAAUUUUGAAUCCGACCACCUCCAAUAGUAAGAGCUUCUACUCAUUGUUUUCAAAUUCAUAAACAAACACCACGUCCAGAGAGAACACUGCUGUUUACCAGAGACAAUCUCUCUGCCCUCGAUACUAACUAUUUAAUCUUUUCACACCUAGAGACUUAAGGAAUAUAGCACUAUUUCCAAUCAAACAUAGUGCUCACUCAAUAACAUUUCAUGUGACAUACUUUCCUUUACACUCUUAUCGCAAAAAAAAAUUGACACCUUUCAACUUUAGAAACAAAUUCAUUUUACCCUUAAUGAAAUUAUUACAAUGUUUAUGACUUGUAUACCACAACUCUCAAAAGUUUUUUCCUUUCUUAAACUAUGUCCACAGAAGUCUUUUGUGUUCUGAGGCAUAAUCCACUCCAUAGUCAGCUUAGGAUACUAAUAAAUUAAGGACGAGUACCAGCAGAACAUAGCAAAACACAUAUAUCCAUCUUUAUUCAUAUGAGUUUUUUCCCCUAAACUUAAUUGAAACAACUAAACAAAAAUUAACAGUUUAGCGCCAACUUUAUGCACUGCAAUUUUGAUAGAGAUCGUUUGCACUAUAUUAUAAAAGCGGAAUGCGUUUUCUAUAUGAUGUAAGUCUCUACCGAAGUGUUUGUUAUAUAUUUUAAAUUACGAAUAAUAAAUCUUAAAUUAUAAACUAAAAUCUCAGCAGUAUAUACUACUUAUUACACAUGCGUUUUCAUGCUUUUCUCAAGACUUAUGAAGUAUUUGGAGACGCAAAACAAGCAUUCACGAAAUUUCACUCUAUAAAACAUAAGUCACAGAAGCUCGAAUCACGUUAGAUCGAGUCUCGUUGAAGAAGAAAAACAAAGUAUCAACUGUUAAUUCGUAAGUAAUUAAAUCUACAUAGAUAGAAACUAAAACUACAGAUACACAGAUAUAUGGCGAGAGAUAGACAGAAAAAACCUUGAUAGCAGUCUCCACAGCUUUGCCGACGACACCGGGAUCGGACUGCCAUGUUCCCAAACCGACCGCCGGAAUGCUGAAACCGGUAUUCAACUUAAAGUACGGCAUCUCCGUCGCCUCCGCCAUUGAUACAAAAAGAGGAGGGAAAUUGAAAAAAAAGAUAGUGAACCGUAUACUGCCAAAGAGAGAAAAAGUUAUUGAUGAGUACAGAGUAGCAAUGCGAAUUGAACUUUGCACUUCCCCUCUCCUUAUAUAUAUAUUAUGUAAAAGAAAUGAAGAUAAUGUGUCAGUUACAACUGUUCCCUUCUGAAGCUGACACAUGGUUUGUCAUUUCACUGUAGUCAGAACGAUUUGUCGACUUUUGUCGUUAUUCUAGAUGGUUAUUUUUGGGGGAAAUGCGAAGGUCUUUUUCAAAAAAUUAAUCUGUCAUUCAUUAGACGGCAGAAUCUUGUCUAAAUAAAUCAAUUCUAGAUUUGGAAAAAGGGCUCAUAACGAAGGCCGUACAAAAAUUGAUUUAAUCGAUUUAUCAAAUCGAAUCAAAAAAGAUAUUAUUAAUUUAUGAGAAAAAUAUUUAAAAAAUAUUUUUAAAUUUGACGUCGAUUAUUAGUUUUAUCUCUAAAUUAUUAAUGGUCUUAAAAACAUUCAUCUACUUGACUAACUAAACUUAAAUACACACAUGACAUAGCAAGUAGUCAAACUCUUGUAGAGGCAUGGAGCUCUUAAUAAAACAUCAAGGGAAGGGUUGAAAGCACUUCUAAAUUUGACGAGAAUUUAGGAGUGUAUUUCCCUCAUUAUGCAAGAUCGGGAUAUAUUUAAGUUCAAUUAGUCAAUUAAAGGAGUGUUUUUUCUAGUUGACAAUAGUUAGGGAAUGAAACUAGGCAAGAAAGGAUGAUGUGGAGGUCAUACCCGAAGACGUCUUGCUCGAUACAGAGUGGGUUACGAAGGUUAGAGCGAGGAUGAACGCAGUUGAGAUACUAGGUCAACGCUUGGAAAAGGUAGAAGGCACUCUAAGCGUUCUUGAGGGGCACACUCUCGAGAAGAUUGAGAUCAUCUGAAAUGAUUUGGAUGGCAUACACAAAAGGUAAAACCAAGAUAGAGAUAAGGCAAAUUAUCGUUACUUUAGAGUAGUCGUUGAGCACUAAUGAUACCAUGAAGGUAAAAAUGGAGGUACUCAAAGAGCAGGUUAACGUUGGCGUGACUGAGACAAUCAGAAAUAUUGUGGUGAUGAGGGAGGCUAAAGACAAUUUAUGGUAUUUUGAUUUUGAGAUAUUGCAAAACACAUAGCAUAAUUAUUGGUGUUAUAUACCACAAAUAUACAGUUGAAAAUAAAAUGAUAAAAAUGAAUAAAAAAUAUAUUCAGACUGAGCCGCGGAUAUCUCACAUUCUUUAAGAAGAUUCAAUCUCAUUGUGGCAUAAUUUACACAGAUCCAACAAUAUCACUCUUGACUUGUCAUCUUCCGAAUACCACAACUCAACAGUAUCGUACAACUCGAACAACUCUCGGUUAAUUGAAGAGUUCAAAAGUCCACAAAAAGAAUAUCUUCCUUCACCAUAUUACUCUCUUUUGUAUAAUGAAUUAGUUGAAGACUUAAAAUACUAUUAUUUAUCUUAACUCUCUCUUUCACUACAGUAAUUCAAUAUAUACAUAAUACAAUACUUCUCGUCUCUUCUUACACUUUUCUUUUGUUUUUAAUACAAAGUAAGAGCACACUAUUUAUAAGUGAAGAAUUUUUCAUUGCAAUAAAUAGAAAGAUUAUGAGUAGUAAUUAGAUAAAUAAAUAAUCCAAAAUUUAUAUGAAUUACUAACAUAAUUAAUAAGAUAGAAUAAUGAGUUGAAUUUUCAUAGCUGAUAGCAACAAUAAAUUUUCAUAAGUAAUAAUAAAUUUUCAUAAGUAAAGUUUGGACUUUUAUAUUUGUUAGUUAAUUUUACAUGUUUAUGUACUAAGUUUGACUUAUCCAUGUUCAGAACAUUAUAAAAUUAGCAUAUUUUGUACUUCUGGCUUGCAAAAUAGUUUAUUUUUACCUCUUUUUCACUAACGAAGCCAUUAAAAAAAUUAAUAAAUAUGGAAAACGUCCAAAUUCGGCUCUCUAAUUUGUGAAGUAUUUACUUUAGCCCUCAGUAUAAUAAUAUUAUCUUUUCUCACUAAGAGCUCCACUUUGAACCACAAUUUUAUGCAUGUUAAAAACUACAAAAUUAUACUUGACCAUUAAUUGAACCACCUCUUAAUUACUACUUUACUACCGUUGUUUACUCAUUGCAUGUGUUACAACACAUUAGUCAGUAACAGGAGAAGACUGAGACAGGAACUAAAAAUAGCACUGCCAAGUGAAAUUUAAGCAUGCUAUGUGUGUGUGUUAGUUUCAUGUCAUGCGUGCGCUUGAUUCAAGUAGUAUGAGAAACACGUUCAAUUGCCAAGUAUUAACAGUGAUGUUUAAACCCUCAAAUAUUCUGUUUUUUUUUUUCCUUUCCCCGUCUGAUGGACAAAACUAAAAGUACUUAAUUCAUCCACCAAACGAAAGGAAGGAGACAUAGCCUCACCAGGAGCAUAGUAUUUAACUACUCCACAAUAAAAGAUGACUGCAAAAGUUGAUGGUUUAGGGGUAGUAUUAUCCCAGCAAAUCAAAUUUUUGAAUACUGUCUCGUAGUUGAAUGGUUUUCCAGCAUAGAGUCAAUAGAGGGAUAGGGGGUGCAAGGAAACCUACAUCUAAUGGUUUGAAAAUUCAUCGAUCACCAAAAGUUCAAAGGAAAAGGAAGUGCACAAGAAGCUUGAAUCUCUGAGACAAAUGGAUUAAGAUUUGCCUAUCUUUGACAGUUAACUCAUACUGUGACCUUAGAUCUCAUCAUCCCACAGCUCUUCAAGUGUUCUGUACUGGCCAUGCGUCUCGUGAACAAAUGAAAUGCCUCUCAGCAGCCUUGCCUGCAAUGUCAAUAAAUCCAUGAACUGCAUUAAUAGAGUUUGUGAUCAAAAUAUCUGGUAAACAGACUUAUAUAGACACUUAUCGCAACCAUCCAGGAAGUUUAAAGAGUAUAAGUGAGGCAGGGCACAGAUAAAAGGGGAUUUCAUUUUCUUUUGGUCCCGAUGGGGUGUUGUCUAACUAGCACACCGCAGUAUAUGGUCAUGCAUAUUAGACGUUCGUUUGACAGUAUGAAUCUGUCACAAGUAAGAGGUAUCAAAGCAUCUAUUUGUAAAUUAUAUGAAUGUCACCAAGCGGUAUCAAAGAAGUCAUGAAUACAAGUCUGACAGAGAUUCAUUAUGUGCAAUGCAAGUCUCAUUCGUGUUUCUUUCUUCAUUUUUAUUUACUUUUCCCUUGGAACAUGGAUUGCUAUCUCAGAGAAGAUAUACAGCCAAUUUCUAGGUCCGUUUGCACUUUUCAAAUUUGAAAUUAAUAUGAUAAGAGAGAACAAAUUUACAAUUGCAAUCUCAGUAAUAUCAAAAGAAAUUGCCAUAACAAUGAAAGAAUUUACCUGUGGAAUUUCAGAGAACCUGGCAAGCAAGUCAUCAGGUAUAGACCAGUUCAGUACAUCAAGAUUCUCUUUAAUCCGUGCUUCAUGUGUGCUCUUAGGAAGUACACUCUGACCCAUCUGAAUGCCCCAACGAAGACAAACCUGUGCAGGAGUCUUGCCCAAUUUCUCAGCAACUGAGAUUACAGCUGGCUGCUUUAGCACAUCACUUUUAAGCCAUGUUGUACCUGGAGACCCAAGCGGCGAAUAUGCCUGAAAUAAAAAGGUGUCGAGAAAAGGAGUAAAAACAGUAACUCAUUGUCAAUCUACUCAUGUAGACAGAUGACUAGUCAAUGGUUACCAACAACCAAACUCAUGGAACAAAUAAAUUCAUCCCCUAUGAACAAUUGUUCACAGUAAUCAGAAGAAAAUGGAAAUUGGAGAAAAAUCUAAUGAAAACUUGACCACAAUGUACACAAGGGGUACAAGAGCUUUAGAAAUGAACUCACAGAGAGGUGCACUUCAUUGGAUUUACAGAACUCGCGCAAUUUGGCUUGUUGCCACGAAGGAUGGCACUCCACCUGGUUGACAGCAGGACGAAUACGUGCUACUUGUAAAAGAUCUCCCAGUUUCUUAGUAGAGAAAUUGCUAACACCAAUAACUCUAGCCUUCCCGGAAUCAUAAACUUUUUCCAUUGCUUCCCAUAUGCUGGGUAUGUUGGUUGGCAUAAGAUUUUCAGGUUUAAAGUCAACUGAUCCAGGCUUCAUACUGACAGGCCAAUGGAUCUAUAGAAACAAAAGUCUCAAUUUAUUUACAAGGAUACCAUUUAAUACAGAAAAAACAAAAGAACAAGUAAAUCACUUAAAUUUAUAAAACUAAUGAACUCUCUUUUGAUGUUUAAAUUUUUCCAAGAUAUGUAGAAGUUCAACGGCAGUAUUUAUAGUUCUCUGGAGCAUCGUGGCAGCUCUAAAAUUUCAUUCUGGUGCAUCUACUUAAGGGAAGAGUGGGAGUAUAUUGCAGUGAACACUUCUUAGAAGUAUAUUAUAAUAAUUUAGUAAUAUGGCUAUGAACUAUUUAGCAAACUUAGAAAUACUAGCAGAAAGAAAGUUUCACAUUAAGAAGAACUUACGAGGUACAGGUCAACGUAUUCCAGCUGCAAGUCUUUAAGAGUUUUGUCUAGUGCGACUGGUACAUCUUCAGGUGCAUGAUUAGUGUUCCUAAAAAAGUUAAUACACUUGAAUGUAUGAGUAUCCUGAAACACUAUGGAGACCACAAUGAUGGAAAAAACAGAGGCCCAUCAGCACCAUUUUAGUGCUAAAAGCAGAGUAGGUAUUGAAUUACCAAGAUAUCAGGAAACAUAAAUAAUAAAAGGGGGAACUCAACAAUGAUAAACAAAAGACCAAUGGUAAAAGAUUGAUGAGAAUAACUUCACAAAGUUGAACAAGUUAACUUCAUAAUGGAAAGAAAUUGACUCAGCAUAUUUAAAUUUUAGGGCGAACAACAAGGAGGUAAGUUGUAAUAGGAAUGUUUGAAUACAUACGAGAGUUUGGAUGUAAUAAAUAGAUCUCGCCUCUUGACAACACCAUCUUUAAACAGCCUGCUCAAAACUUCACCAAUCUUUGAAGAAGAAAAAAAUGAGACAAGUUCUAGAAAGCAGGACAUGUUUUACAUUCUAACAAAAUGAAACUUGGUUUGAACAAAUUCAACAAAUCAGACUAGAAAAUGUUAAUGACAGAUUGAUCUGGAAACAAAUGAUAACCAUUGAUCACCUUUCCCUAGGCCAGUGUUAUAAAAAGUGAGGAAAACGCUUAAAGCGCGAGGCGAGGUGAAGUAUAGCCCCUGCGCUUUUAUUUCCUGAAGCGAGGCGACAUUGAAAAAGCACUCGCUUCUACUGUAGAAGAAGCGCAAGAAAAGCGAAAGCGUGAAAAAGCGCGCUUAAUUUGAAAAAGCACUAAUUAGGGUUUUUUUUUUAAAAUUGUGAGGUUUUUUUUUUUUAAUUUCUGAAAUCCUUACGCGACUUCACAUAGACUUCAAAUUUAUUUUUUGGACUGCUGCGAGGCUGCAACUGCUGCUGCUGUAAGUUCUCUUCUUCUCUUCUUCUUUGCGACUGCUCUGUAUUUUUAUUGCUGUAUUUUUUGUGAUUUAAUUAUGUUUUUACUUUAUAUGUUAAUGACUUAAGAGGAUUAUUGACUAUCUAUUUACUUUUAAUCUAAGAAUAUAUUACCUCUAUUCAGUUAUUUAAUAUUUUAUUUUUUUUAUACUAAAUAUCGCUUUACUUAAAAAAAGCAUGCGCUUCCCUUCUCGCUUCUGUAAAGCAAGCCCUCCUCACUUUUUUCCGCUUCUCGCUUCCCAAAACACUGCCCUAGGCAAAAGAUGAAGUCCAAAACCAUCAAAGACUGACACAAGAUUUUUCCACAAGACCUUAGUAUUAUAGGCAGAAUGUCUAUCACAUCAAUAAUGCUCCUAAAGUGCCGCCUUAAUGGCUACUUUGCAUAUGUACUGAUUUUUCAGAUCUUAACAUAAAGCGAUAAUUUCCCAUGUUGCAGCAAUAUUUCAGGAAACAGUAAACAAGAUACAUUAAAGCCGCAUUUACUCUUGGAAUUGAGAUUUGUAAGUGAUAACUUGAUAAGCCCCUCUAUCAUGCCGUCUCAGUGCAAGACAUCCGCUGGAUGCAAAAAACCAAGUUAUUAUUUUUACUUUUUUUUGGGAAGUAAAUAAAUAAAUAAGUGUCCCUCUCCAAUGAUUUAAAAUCCUUUCAGACGAGAUAGUCAUACAGUUUGACAUGAUCUCUGACCCGUCAACAGAUUAUCUAUACAUGUUCGUCCCUAAAACGAAUAUGGCCGACAUAUAAAGGGGUGUGUUGUAGAUAUAAAAUAAAUAAUAGAAGUGUCAUUUCUUCUUUUAGAUGAGAGAACCACUUCAAUACUAUGCAAUGUUCAGUAUGAUUAAAGCCAAAUUACC